Molecule: long non-coding RNA, 2320 nt
Filed under: Equus caballus (horse)
Lineage: Eukaryota; Metazoa; Chordata; Mammalia; Perissodactyla; Equidae
Description: lncRNA (ENSECAG00000056831.1)
Source: RNAcentral
GAAAACUAUGUGAAACUUGAAUUAAGAAACAGAAGAGAAACUUGAUUUAAGAAACAGAAGUGAAACUUGAUUUAGGAAACAGAUGUGAAACUUGAUUUAUGAAACGAUCGACACGACUUCAGAAAACUAUGUGAAACUUGAUUUAAGAAAAACCAGUUCAACUGAUAUGGAAACCUAACAUAUAGAAAUAGACCCAGUUUUGCUUUCCUCAAGGAAUGACAAUUGAAACGAUCAAUGGAAUGAUCAACACAAAUGGAAAAUAUUACUGUUAUUGUAAUAUUAUAUAAUAUUAUAUAUAUGAUAUAUAUUAUCUAUAUAAUAUAAUAUAAGUUAUAUAUUAAAUGAUGAGGAUUUCAGGCUGGUUAAUUUUAACACUGCAGAUGAGUAGCAGGCUCCAAGGAGCGGAGUUUGCUCGCCCUUUGUUGGGAGGCAUUAACAUUUGUAGGGGAAACCUCCAUCUGUGGGGUUGCCUCCCUCUCUGUGCCAGGAAGAAGGGAGAUGACCUUGUCGCUGGAAGCUCUUCAUCAUGCCAAAGACAAGAAUUUAAGGGCGUGAGUGUUUUUAAAAAACAAAAAAAAAGGCUUGAUUCCAAAGAGAUGGUGUCUCUCUGCUUUUCCUCCCGCUCCGUCUUCUCAGCUAACACUCCAGUGUUCCCAGAACGCUCCAUCUUGGCGUCUUUCUGCAGUUGGCACUCUGGACUGCUAUGGUGCAGACAUUCGUCGAUGUUCCAGGUUGUCUUGAAAGAAUGGAUUACAAUACGACAUCUGCCUAGGUCUCUCGAUCCAGUUUCCUGCCUUGUUCCAGUGUUCCGUGUCCUCACUGAUUUCUCGGCCUGCUUCACCGAAGAGUUACUGAGACUUCGGCUCUAAUCUCCCAGCAAACGGGUGAAUUCCAAGUGGCGUUUUCAAGAGAUGUGUCAACCUAGUCCACGUUUGCCCGGAACGCCUGCCCACUUUCUGGGAUCACAUGAAGCCAUCCGGGGUCGUGUAGUGACUGUUCCUACAGCAACAUGUUGUCGUGGGCAUCCAUUCCCCCAGGGCCAAUUCGAGGAACUCCAGGGUUUCCUUUGGGUAUUCUGGGAGCUGUGACACUCGGGGGCCUUCCAGCCCCUGGGAGAGACUGCCCCUGCCGGGACUGGCCAGUUCCUAAAGACGGUGAACGGCUGUCUUGGGGGCUGGCCUUUCUGGUGCUAGACAACUUCUUCUUUCUCGUUUUCAAAUGUUUGGGAGCCUUUGUGGCCUCCGUGGCUUCAAAUGAACAUUUCCUAGCAGGCAAAUCCAAGGGGAUUGGGGCGGCUUUCUUGAGACACUACUAGCUCCUUUUCCAAGGCUCCUAAGCCAAGCCAGUCUUUUCCCUGCCCUGAAUUGUCCCAGGGCCAGAUCCCAGGCCACCAGACACCGCCCCUCUCGCUCCCCCCUCCAGGACGAUUCCGAUUGGACGACUUUCAACUGUUUGCUCCGCCCCACCACGGAGCCCUUCCUGGAAACCCCAAUAAAGGCUCUGUCUCAGGCCCUCCCCUCUCACUCUUCUCCGCCAACCCUCCCCAGGCCUGCGGCUUCUCCUGGGUCCCUGCCUGCUGCGUGGCGCCUCUCCCGACCGAAGGAGCGAAGCAGCAGCCUCGGGACCCAAUUCCUGCAUACAUGGUGUAAGCAAACAAUGUGAAACUUGGUUUCAGAAACAGAUGUGAAACUUGAUUUAAGAAACAGAAUGAAACUUGAUUUAAGAAACAGAAGUGAAACCUGAUUUAGGAAACGAUCGACAGGACUUCAGAAAACUCUGUGAAGCUUGAUUUAAGAAACAGAUGUGAAAGUUGGUUUAAGAAACGAUCGACACGACUUCAGAAAGCUAUGUGAAACUUGAUUUAAGAGAAACCAGUUCGGCUGAUGUGGAAGACUCCGACCAUGUAGAAAUGGAGCCUGUUUUGCCUUCCUCGAGGACUGACAGUUGAAACGAUCAAUGGAAUGAUCAGCACAAACAGAAAAUAUUACUGUUACUGUAAUAUUAUGUGAUAUCCUCUAUAUCUAAGAUAUAUAUUAUAUAUAUGAUGUAAGAUAAGAUAUAUAUUAAAUAUAUAAUGUAAUAUAUAUUAUAUAACAUGUACUCUCUCUCUAUAUACAUAUGUAUCACGUAAUGUAUAUAUAUAAUGUAAUAUAAUAUUGCUGUUACUGGAAAGAUGACCGCAAGAAGUUGAUUUUUUAUCUACCAGAAGUUUUCUUCGCUGUGUUUUAAGUCGGCGAUCUGCUUUGAUCGUUUUGUUCGCUUCUGCUGUUUUGAGAAGAACGAUUUGAAAGUGAGCCAAAUAAAGUGUUCUUAAAUGGAA